UACGGAGGGGGCUAGCGUUGUUCGGAAUUACUGGGCGUAAAGCGCACGUAGGCGGCUUUGUAAGUUAGAGGUGAAAGCCCGGGGCUCAACUCCGGAACUGCCUUUAAGACUGCAUCGCUUGAAUCCAGGAGAGGUGAGUGGAAUUCCGAGUGUAGAGGUGAAAUUCGUAGAUAUUCGGAAGAACACCAGUGGCGAAGGCGGCUCACUGGACUGGUAUUGACGCUGAAGAGCGAAAGCGUGGGGAGCAAACAGG
RNAcentral lists this ribosomal RNA (253 nucleotides) under uncultured bacterium. RNAcentral's name for it is "partial 16S ribosomal RNA". It matches the Rfam family "Bacterial small subunit ribosomal RNA", at positions 524 to 776 of the family's 1533-position model. The record is from RNAcentral.